This is a long non-coding RNA of Lycium ferocissimum, 763 nucleotides long. RefSeq lists it as uncharacterized. The transcript has 3 exons. NCBI's taxonomy places the organism in Eukaryota, Viridiplantae, Streptophyta, Magnoliopsida, Solanales, Solanaceae. The record is from RefSeq and is a predicted model, not a curated record.
AUCCACGUAUUUUAUGAACAUUGCUGGUUGUUUUGGAUAUUCUGCUCCUCUUUCAAUUUUUGGUCAACAUCUUCAUAUUUUUGGUCUCCAUCUUUUUUCAUUUCUUUGCUUCUUCAAGUUCUCUUAGAAAAUUUCUCAAUUUCAUGGUUGUGGAAAAUAGUCGAUUGAGACUUCCUGGUUGUUGAAAAAAUUACUCUUAAGUCGAAGCCUCGAUUUUGGUAUUUCACGCCAUGAAAGCUCCAGCAUAGAAAGCUCCCGAAUGCCGCCACCGGUGGUGACAAGAAGAAGAAGUGGGCAAGAAGUCGAUUGAGACUUCUUGAAGGUGCUGGAGCAAGUUCACCCCGACAUCGGUAUCUCUAGCAAAGCCAUGGGUUAUUGAUAAAUUUCAACUUAAAAUCCCUUUAUUCUAAAAUAAAUAUUUGUUUCUCUGAUUCUAAUUUUUGAAUUUUAGGGUCCGGUUUCUUGACUUUUGCAGGAUAUGUUGUCAAUAAAGGAAACAAUAGUGAGAGAUUUCAGAGAAAUAUAAACCAAAGCUAUGGUGGUGGUGGCGGUCAUCGCAAUCGCUUACAACAUUUAGGUAGUAUUGCGUUGUUUUCGCUUUUCUAAUUCUCAUUCUAAGGGGCAUCUUAUAAUUUUCAUAUGUGGGUAUAUUUCUUGUGAAAACUCAAGGUUACUAAGUAUUGUUUACCCUGAAGCAUUGUUAGUUUUGAUUUGAAAUUGGAUAUUGUCCUGCAUAUUUGCUAUAAAAAUGUGUUCCUUGCUA